This is a non-coding RNA of Phascolarctos cinereus (koala), 1142 nucleotides long. The record is from RefSeq and is a predicted model, not a curated record. NCBI's taxonomy places the organism in Eukaryota, Metazoa, Chordata, Mammalia, Diprotodontia, Phascolarctidae.
UCCUGGGGAGAUUUCCCCUGUAAUUGUCAUCCCAUUUCAUUGGCCCUCAGGGGAUAAUAAAAUCACAGUGACUCAGAGAAGAGCUGUAAGACUUUAAUCACAGAGCACUGUAUGACUUCGGAAAUAGCCAAACAAUUUGUUUUCCCUGGUUCCUGUAAGGUUUAAACAGUCAUUCUUCCCUCAGGACCAUCAAGAAAACUCCUGACUUCUCAAUCUCUUUCGUAAAGGUGUCCAGCCCCACCUAGGUCAUCUAGAAGGGGAGCAAUACAGUGAUGGAGAGACUCCCCACUUGAGAACUCCAGCAAGCAAAGGAAGAUCGGGACACCAGGGCACCUACAGAUGUUUUAUUGCAAGUAAUAAUCACCAGCUAUAAAAGUGUCUUUGAGGAGAGAGGUUGAUGGGCCAUUUCCCAGAAGUAGGAAAGGAGACCGUGGAUGAAAGGCUCCAGCUACAUGGUGAUGACCGCACACUGCAGCCCAGAGAGGAUCUCUAUUCAAGAGCAUUGCAGAGGAGCUCCAAAGGAGAUCAGGGCUUCAGUGGAGAAGUAAGCAGAAUUCUUUGUGGUGGCUAUGGAAACAAAGUAGACACCCACCAACCAAGGAAUGCCAAACGAGUUGGGGUCACAUGGAUGUAAUGGAAUCUUAUCAUCCUGCAAGAAAUGACGAAUGUGAAGAAUUAGGAGAGGCAUGGAAGGAUUUAUCUGAGCUAAUGGAAAAGCGCAGCAAGCAAAACCAGGAAAACAACAUAUAACAUGGCUGUGACAAUGUCAACCGAAAAGAUGACAACAGCAAACCAAACAAAACUCAAUACUGCAAAAUUACAAUGACCCAACUGGGCGCCAAUGAGGAGAUAUGAGAAGACAUCUUCCCACUUCUUUGCAGACAUGGGGGCCUGGGGGUUUAGACCAAGAUGUGAAACUCACAAGCCCAAUCAGCAGGCAAAACUCUCCAGUGCCACCUGAAGCUGACUCAAACUGGGAAAUGUUGAACGGAAUAAAUAAAAAUACAAUAUAACACAGAUAAUGUCAUUUGUGGGUUUUUAAGUUAAUACACUACCAGUCCCCAGGGACUAUUCCCAUUUGGAUUUUAUGCCAAUGGUUUAGAAAACCACAUAUAAUGGUAGACUUCAAAAAUGUUUUACAG